RNAcentral lists this ribosomal RNA (253 nucleotides) under uncultured bacterium. Its description in RNAcentral is "partial 16S ribosomal RNA". It matches the Rfam family "Bacterial small subunit ribosomal RNA", at positions 524 to 776 of the family's 1533-position model. The record is from RNAcentral.
UACGGUGGGGGCAAGCGUUGUUCGGAAUUACUGGGCGUAAAGGGCUCGUAGGUGGCCAACUAAGUCGGACGUGAAAUCCCUCAGCUUAACUGGGGAACUGCGUCCGAUACUGGAUGGCUCGAGUUUGGGAGAGGGAUGCGGAAUUCCAGGUGUAGCGGUGAAAUGCGUAGAUAUCUGGAGGAACACCGGUGGCGAAGGCGGCAUCCUGGACCAACACUGACACUGAGGAGCGAAAGCCAGGGGAGCAAACGGG